CCUACGGGUGGCAGCAGUGGGGGAUAUUGCACAAUGGGGGGAACCCUGAUGCAGCGACGCCGCGUGUGGGAAGACGGUCCUCUGGAUUGUAAACCACUGUCCCCAGGGACGAAAAUGACGGUACCUGGGGAGGAAGCUCCGGCUAACUACGUGCCAGCAGCCGCGGUAAUACGUAGGGAGCGAGCGUUGUCCGGAAUUACUGGGUGUAAAGGGAGCGUAGGCGGGGAUGCAAGUUGGGUGUCAAAACUACCGGCUCAACUGGUAGUCGCACUCAAAACUGCAGCUCUUGAGUGAAGGUGAGGGAGGCGGAAUUUGUAGUGGAGGGGUGGAAUGGGGAGAUAAUAGGAGGAACACCAGUGGCGAAGGCGGCCUGCUGGGCUUUUACUGACGCUGAGGCUCGAAAGUGGGGGGAGCAAACAGGAUUAGAUACCCUUGUAGUC
This 440-nucleotide ribosomal RNA is filed under the name uncultured bacterium. RNAcentral's name for it is "partial 16S ribosomal RNA". It matches the Rfam family "Bacterial small subunit ribosomal RNA", at positions 338 to 795 of the family's 1533-position model. The record is from RNAcentral.